UACAAUUUAAUCAAAAUCCAGAGUUGCCCAUUUCCAAAUUAGCUCCAAAUUUACUCAAUUGUAUAAGAGGCGUAAAUAGGAAGAUUCCCACCAAACAAAGGAAACAAAAGCUUAUACUGGUUAAAAAAUCGUCAUGAUCAUCAUCAUAAUCUGUAUGAAAUAAUUGAUUAGAGAAUAAGCCGAUCAACAGCAACGAGCUAAGCGAAGAGGCGGGACUUGUCCUUCUGGUCCGUUCCGUAGCACCAAGUUGAAC
Molecule: unclassified non-coding RNA, 253 nt
Filed under: Hevea brasiliensis (rubber tree)
Lineage: Eukaryota; Viridiplantae; Streptophyta; Magnoliopsida; Malpighiales; Euphorbiaceae
Source: RNAcentral